Molecule: long non-coding RNA, 200 nt
Filed under: Vigna radiata
Lineage: Eukaryota; Viridiplantae; Streptophyta; Magnoliopsida; Fabales; Fabaceae
Description: long non-coding RNA (VRAD_LNC017890)
Source: RNAcentral
GGAGGCCUAUUCGACCUCUGUACAAAUCUUUUCAAAUGUCCUGCUUGAACUAGGGUCUCUAAUUUAUCCUUCAAAGUGACGCAAUCUUCAGUAGUAUGCCCCCUAUUUUGGUGAUAUCGACAGUACUUACUUUCAUCGGCACCGAAAGGGGUUGGAGCUUGGACCGUAGUCAUUAAAUCCGCUCUCAAAGCUUCCUCCAA